This is a non-coding RNA of Solanum lycopersicum (tomato), 208 nucleotides long. The record is from RefSeq and is a predicted model, not a curated record. NCBI's taxonomy places the organism in Eukaryota, Viridiplantae, Streptophyta, Magnoliopsida, Solanales, Solanaceae.
GAAGGUCUUGAGAAUUUUACAAUAUCAAAGCUUUGGAUUCCAGAUGAUAAUUUGGAAGUACAAUACAAACUAAGGAAAGAAGAAAAGGGGAAGAACUUAUCCAAAAAUGAAACUGACCCAAAAGAUCAGGGAACCAACGGAUUGACCAAACAGAUGGUAAUUACAUUUAAUGUUUUAAUAUAAAAAUUCAAAUCAUUUUAAGGAUUAA